Long non-coding RNA from Varroa destructor (honeybee mite), 2171 nucleotides. RefSeq lists it as uncharacterized. NCBI's taxonomy places the organism in Eukaryota, Metazoa, Arthropoda, Arachnida, Mesostigmata, Varroidae. The record is from RefSeq and is a predicted model, not a curated record.
UCUGUCCUAGGUCCGAAUGAAAGCAUCCUAGCAGCUUUAGCACAUCUACUACCGUCAAAUCCCAGCUUUCAAACGCCACCAACAUAACCCCAACUCGAAUUACAUGAGAUGCGGGACUUUAAAGCAAUUUUGUGAAAAAAUGGUCAACACUAAUUCUACAUGAAAAUUACAAAACAAUUGCAUUUGAGCCUGCUUCCCUGACGAUACGCAGAAACAUCCCGUAACAGAGGAAACGAAAAUUGCCUUCAGUCGUAACCAAACAGAGACGCAGCAGUAACAGAGAUUGGAGACUGAUAUACAUCAUUUGUUGUACUCAACAUCACAAAAAUUGCUGAACAAUUAUUAUGAGAUUACCCUGGUUUACUACGAUCUAUCACAAUGGAUUUUGCUUUCAAAUAGAUUAUGGCAUUAUCAGCUGCCAAUCAGACUUCGAACGAUACCAACGCAAGGUCCACUCAAACAAACCAUAAAAUUCUAUCCGAUCUAAAUUCAUCUAGCUGGGUCGUUCUCUUCAGGUGACCUGCUUAUGGCCGGCCUUGUGUACGUGACUAUCCAUAAAUUACUUCCUGCUUGUUGUGCUUGUGUCCCACUGUAAUAACCGCCAGCUAAUUAUUGACAGAAGGUUGGCUCUCGUCAGCAUGAGUUCGGUUUCAGCAGCAUAAACAAAUCAUACCAUCAAACAACGUUAACUUGAAGGCUACUAUUAGAAGACAGCUAGUCCCUUGUGCACGUUAGCAACAGUUGACAGUAAGCCAAAGCAGGGUUUGUGAAAAGCGCAAACAGAAUACUACCCGAGCGCUCUUCACACCUCUUAUUCGGCGUAUAAUGCUUAUUUUUCUUAUGUACCACAUACAUAAGCCAACAUUAAUCAUACUGUAAUUAGCCUAAUGCACAAACAAUAGCAACCUAGAGCAGAAGCGUGCCGAACUUGAUUCGUAAUUCCCAGAGUGUAUAUCCAGCGGCGCAGAUGUAAAAGAGGUCCAAACGAAUUAUUCGUACAUUUAUAGAAAGCCUAUUAUCGACUUCCGGUAGCUAUAACCGCCUACAAGUUGGUCCGGCAGGUUGAGCUACAGCACGACAUUGAUGGUGACCGCUGCAGAAGCUAGGCUGUCACACCUCACUCGGCGCUCUCCAACCGGCGAACACCUUACUGCAUAGAAUUACGGAAGGUAGUCAAGCAGGAGCCCUCAGUCACCAGCCCAGAUUCGUUCAGAAAAGCGUACGCACUAAGGGAAAUCGAAAGGGCUUUAGUGACGGGGAUGAAUUAGGGAUGGGCGCAAAGGCGGCGAACAAUAUUAUCGAUCCUAUCGAUGCCUUGCUCUUCACCGAAACCCGUUGUCUCUGGGUGGGGUCUAGACAGACCUGCUGGCAAAGUAGAGUUCCGGCCUUUAAUUCUCCUUCAUCGCUGCGCGUGAAUUUUUAUGCCUUCGGGCUCUGUGUAUCGAAGGUGAAUCUGUUUAAGGACAAAAGCAAAGAAACCUAACAUGAAUGGACAUACUUGAAAACACUUUAGAGUAGGAAUUUUGCACCGGAGCUGUACUGAACGACCGGAUUAUGAAAAUCGAUCCGAGAUAUUUACCUAAUAUAUAUUUUUUCACGUAUUCCGAUAUUUAAAGCACCAUUUCAGACGGCUGGCUUUCAACCAGUCACGUGGUUCUUAGUUUACUAAACAAAUCGGUCACCACUAGACUAUUACAGCCAGACAAAGAAUGGACACAUAGUAUGACGACCAUGGCAUCUGGCAUAUGGAGGCAGGCCAAUUUAGUGGUAUUGUGUGGUAUAUCUCUCUUUCUUGUCUACUCACAUUCUCAUCCUAAAACAGUGACAUAGUUUAUAUAAUUUUUAUAAUGUUAUUCACUUGAAUCGAUGAUCGGUAAGUGCAAAAUGAGCCAACAAAAACAAAACCGUUUGCUCAAAAAAGGGAAGUACUUAAAUUAAAAGGUACUCUACAGAAAAAAAAACAUAGACAAACGUUCUAUAUCAGUACAUUUCAUAUAUGCAGCAAAUUCAUAGUGACUAUAGGAAGAAUACAAAGUAGAGCUUGUUCGUCGCAAUAAACAUUUCUCACUGCGUUCUAUUUUUAAGCUCUUUAUUGUGAGAUCAAUAAAGUGUCACGUUUAAACUUGUGGGUCGUCAAAAUAUGGGACCGGCAGCAAUUACAAUCGUUUGGA